This is a long non-coding RNA of Hermetia illucens (black soldier fly), 601 nucleotides long. RefSeq lists it as uncharacterized. The record is from RefSeq and is a predicted model, not a curated record. Lineage: Eukaryota; Metazoa; Arthropoda; Insecta; Diptera; Stratiomyidae. The transcript is spliced from 3 exons.
UUAUGUGUGAGAACUAAACCAGUUAUUAAUUGCCCCUACUUCGGGGUGCACGUCUAGUUCGUGGGCGUCGCGUUUUAGGUGUACCAGCCUAGUUACGGAAGGUACACAGCAUAGUUAGUUCAUUUAGCGUACAGUUCACCUCCUGUGGUGAAUAAGCACGCACAGGCCGGUCGGCAGAUGUUACAAACUUCCUUUUAGCCUUGUUGGGCUUUGUUGAGGAAAGAAGGGAUCAUCCUUCCUUUCGUUCCUGAAUUUGGAGAUAUUCACUUUAAAAAGAUCAACUUUUCUUCAGAGAACAUCCCUACUUUUGAGAAAAUAACAUUGGAUUCCAGAAUUUUUCCAUUCUUCAGCAUCUGAUUCGGUUAUUUGACAUUUGACAUGACUACGACAAAAUCGAUGAUUCAAGGUCAGAUAGGAUAAUCAAUAGCGUGGAGUUGUGCGUGUAUGCUGUGGAAUGUCCUUGGUCUUUAAAAUAUGGGAAACUUUACUUGGGCGUAUUAAAUUUCAUUUGUGAAUUUUUGAUCGGGAAAACAUGACUUGAGUCAAACUAAAUUUGUAUAGGUUAAAGGAGGUUCAAUAAAAAAAUGGAAUGAAAAACAAA